This 122-nucleotide non-coding RNA is filed under the name Pelomonas sp. Root1444. RNAcentral describes it as "TPP riboswitch aptamer (THI element)". It matches the Rfam family "TPP riboswitch aptamer (THI element)". Rfam says of the family: Vitamin B(1) in its active form thiamin pyrophosphate (TPP) is an essential coenzyme that is synthesised by coupling of pyrimidine and thiazole moieties in bacteria. The previously detected thiamin-regulatory element, thi box was extended, resulting in a new, highly conserved RNA secondary structure, the THI element, which is widely distributed in eubacteria and also occurs in some archaea. Analysis of operon structures identified a large number of new candidate thiamin-regulated genes, mostly transporters, in various prokaryotic organisms. Lineage: Bacteria; Pseudomonadati; Pseudomonadota; Betaproteobacteria; Burkholderiales; Sphaerotilaceae. RNAcentral also lists the same sequence under 1 other name. The record is from Rfam by way of RNAcentral.
GCCCCCGCUCCGGGGUGCCCGGGCCUGGCGAAAGCCGCGCCCAGACGCUGAGACAGUUGAAGGACUGAACCCGUGAACUUGAACCGGCUAAUACCGGCGUAAGGAGAGCGCAUGCCUCGCGG